RNAcentral lists this ribosomal RNA (253 nucleotides) under uncultured bacterium. Its description in RNAcentral is "partial 16S ribosomal RNA". It matches the Rfam family "Bacterial small subunit ribosomal RNA", at positions 524 to 776 of the family's 1533-position model. The record is from RNAcentral.
UACAGAGGGGGCAAGCGUUGUUCGGAAUUACUGGGCGUAAAGGGCGCGUAGGCGGCCUUCUAAGUCGGACGUGAAAUCCCCGGGCUCAACCCGGGAACUGCGUCCGAUACUGGAAGGCUUGAAUCCGGGAGAGGGAUGUGGAAUUCCAGGUGUAGCGGUGAAAUGCGUAGAUAUCCGGAGGAACACCAGUGGCGAAGGCGACUUUCUGGCCUGUUCUUGACGCUGAGGCGCGAAAGCUAGGGGAGCAAACGGG